Molecule: ribosomal RNA, 478 nt
Filed under: uncultured bacterium
Lineage: Bacteria
Description: partial 16S ribosomal RNA
Rfam family: Bacterial small subunit ribosomal RNA
Source: RNAcentral
GACGAACGCUGGCGGCGUGCUUAACACAUGCAAGUCGAACGGUAAGGCCCUUCGGGGUACACGAGUGGCGAACGGGUGAGUAACACGUGGGUGAUCUGCCCUGCACUUCGGGAUAAGCCUGGGAAACUGGGUCUAAUACCGGAUAGGACUCCGGACUGCAUGGUCUGGGGUGGAAAGCUUUUGCGGUGUGGGAUGGGCCCGCGGCCUAUCAGCUUGUUGGUGGGGUGAUGGCCUACCAAGGCGACGACGGGUAGCCGGCCUGAGAGGGUGACCGGACACACUGGGACUGGGAUACGGCCCAGACUCAUACGGGAGGCAGCAGUGGGGAAUAUUGCACAAUGGGCGAAAGCCUGAUGCAGCGACGCCGCGUGAGGGAUGACGGCCUUCGGGUUGUAAACCUCUUUCAGCAUCGACGAAGCGAAAGUGACGGUAGGUGCAGAAGAAGGACCGGCCAACUACGUGCCAGCCGCCGCCGUAA